Molecule: ribosomal RNA, 492 nt
Filed under: uncultured bacterium
Lineage: Bacteria
Description: partial 16S ribosomal RNA
Rfam family: Bacterial small subunit ribosomal RNA
Source: RNAcentral
AGUGAACGCUGGCGGUAGGCCUAACACAUGCAAGUCGAACGGCAGCACAGUAAGAGCUUGCUCUUACGGGUGGCGAGUGGCGGACGGGUGAGGAGUACAUCGGAAUCUACUUUUUCGUGGGGGAUAACGUAGGGAAACUUACGCUAAUACCGCAUACGACCUACGGGUGAAAGCAGGGGAUCUUCGGACCUUGCGCGAUUGAAUGAGCCGAUGUCGGAUUAGCUAGUUGGCGGAGUAAAGGCCCACCAAGGCGACGAUCCGUAGCUGGUCUGAGAGGAUGAUCAGCCACACUGGAACUGAGACACGGUCCAGACUCCUACGGGAGGCAGCAGUGGGGAAUAUUGGACAAUGGGCGCAAGCCUGAUCCAGCCAUACCGCGUGGGUGAAGAAGGCCUUCGGGUUGUAAAGCCCUUUUGUUGGGAAAGAAAAGCAGCAGGUUAAUACCCCGCUGUUCUGACGGUACCCAAAGAAUAAGCACCGGCUAACUUCGUG